Perognathus longimembris pacificus (Pacific pocket mouse) is the source of this 107-nucleotide small nuclear RNA. Lineage: Eukaryota; Metazoa; Chordata; Mammalia; Rodentia; Heteromyidae. The record is from RefSeq and is a predicted model, not a curated record.
GCGCUCGCUUCUACAGCCUAUGUGCUAAAACUGGGAGGACGCUGAGAAUGUUAGCAUGGCCCCUGCACAAAGAUGACACCCACAUUGGUGAAGCAUUCCAUCACUGU